Molecule: ribosomal RNA, 624 nt
Filed under: Triticum aestivum (bread wheat)
Lineage: Eukaryota; Viridiplantae; Streptophyta; Magnoliopsida; Poales; Poaceae
Description: partial small subunit ribosomal RNA
Source: RNAcentral
CAUACACAUCAGCAGAAUGGUUCAGUAGAACGUAAGCAUCGUCACAUUGUUGAAGCUGGUCUGACUCUUUUGGCCCAUGCAUCUAUUCCGUUUCGUUUUUGGAGUGAUGCUUUCACCACUGCAUGUUUUCUCAUCAAUCAUACUCCCACUCGUGUUUUGAAUAUGAAGACUCCCAUUGAAGUUCUCCUUAAUGAACAACCGGACUACACCUUUCUCAAGGUGUUUGGGUGUGCUUGCUGGCCCCAUCUUCGUCCAUAUAACAAGCGUAAGCUCGAGUUUCGUUCCAAGAAGUGUGUUUUUCUUGGUUAUAGCUCUCUUCAUAAAGGAUACAAAUGUCUUCAUGUGCCCACUAAUCGUGUCUACAUCUCUCGGGAUGUUGUGUUUGAUGAGCAUGUUUUUCCCUUUGCCAAACUCCCUGUGUCCACUAUCGAGCCACCUGUCAUGCAUUCAUCCUCUGUUGCUUCUGACCAAUUUGAUGAUGUUGCAUAUUCUCCUCUAUUGUUGCCUAACCAUGGUGCAGGCACUGGUCGUGGGGCUCGUUUGGAGAUUCUGGAAGUGCCAUCUUCCUCUUCGUCGCCAUCGCCUUCAUCCUCGGCACCUUCUGUUGUGCAUGAGGAGCACAUG